Molecule: long non-coding RNA, 738 nt
Organism: Phyllopteryx taeniolatus (common seadragon)
Lineage: Eukaryota; Metazoa; Chordata; Actinopteri; Syngnathiformes; Syngnathidae
Exons: 3
Source: RefSeq, a predicted model, not a curated record
AGGAUAUCUUCUGAUUGGUUGGCGAACAGUUAAGGGUGUACCCCGCCUCUCGCCCGAAGAUGGCUGGGAUAGGCUCCAGGACGCCCUCAACCCUAGUGAGGAGAAGCGGGCCGGGGCAACCCUUUGCCUCCAGUGCUUUUGAACCGUCAGCCUUUUGUGUCCUCCACCGGCGCUUUUGUUCUACAUGAAACAGACUAUGUAUGGUCAGCAGCAGCGGGAUCCUGUAGCAGCAAGUGUCAGUUCCGCCACGGGCUCACGCGGACGCAUUUUGAAGAUGAAGGCGACUGUGCACAAACAUCCCGCAGAUCAGGGCGGCAGUGGAGCCUGGUCGUUAGGAUGCGGAUAUGCGCAUACCAGAUGAGCCGCGCCUUCUUACAAUGCCUGGACAACAUGAAGGAAGACGAGUAGAAAAUGUGCCAGAGAGAACAGAAAGAGUCCAUACACUCUCAAAAAGCCGCAAAGCUCAGCAUUGUUUACAAACCCCUUUUUGACACCAUUUUCCUUUUUCCUCAAAGGCCGACACAAAUCCCUCUUUGCCCCUACCACAUUCAAUCACACAGAGAAACACUGUAAAGCUUCACAGACACACUGUGGAUACAUAAUGAAUCAAGCUCCGGUUUUGUAUGAAGUGUUUUCAUUUACAAACAUUCUCUUGUGCGGUUUAAAGUGUCCUCGCCUUAUCAAAGCAUGGACACUUACUGCAUUGCUUCAGCUUUGUUACAGUGCCUGAAACAUUUA